RNAcentral lists this ribosomal RNA (468 nucleotides) under uncultured bacterium. Its description in RNAcentral is "partial 16S ribosomal RNA". It matches the Rfam family "Bacterial small subunit ribosomal RNA", at positions 28 to 507 of the family's 1533-position model. The record is from RNAcentral.
GACGAACGCUGGCGGCGUGCUUAACACAUGCAAGUCGAACGGAAAGGCCCUGCUUUUGUGGUGUGCUCGAGUGGCGAACGGGUGAGUAACACGUGAGUAACCUGCCCUUGACUUUGGGAUAACUUCAGGAAACUGGGGCUAAUACCGGAUAGGAGCUCCUGCUGCAUGGUGGGGGGUGGAAAGUUUCGGCGGUUGGGGAUGGACUCGCGGCUGAUCAGCUUGUUGGUGGGGUAGUGGCUUACCAAGGCUUUGACGGGUAGCCGGCCUGAGAGGGUGACCGGCGACAUUGGGACUGAGAUACGGCCCAGACUCCUACGGGAGGCAGCAGUGGGGAAUAUUGCACAAUGGGCGGAAGCCUGAUGCAGCAACGCCGCGUGCGGGAUGACGGCCUUCGGGUUGUAAACCGCUUUCGCCUGUGACGAAGCGUGAGUGACGGUAAUGGGUAAAGAAGCACCGGCUAACUACGUG